AGUGAACGCUGGCGGCGUGCUUAACACAUGCAAGUCGAACGAGAACGGAUUAUAGCUUGCUAUAAUUGUCAGCUAAGUGGCGCACGGGUGAGUAAUGUAUAGGUAAUAUGCCUCUUACUAAGGGAUAACAAAUGGAAACGUUUGCUAAUACCUUAUACUCCUUAUUAACAUAAGUUAAUAAGGGAAAGAUUUAUUGGUAAGAGAUUAGCCUGUAUUGUAUCAGUUAGUUGGUGGGGUAAUGGCUUACCAAGACUAUGACACAUAACUGGUUUGAGAGGAUGAUCAGUCACACCGGAACUGAGACACGGUCCAGACUCCUACGGGAGGCAGCAGUGGGGAAGAUUGCACAAUGGACGAAAGUCUGAUGCAGCAACGCCGCGUGGAGGAUGACACAUUUCGGUGCGUAAACUCCUUUUAUAUGAGAAGAUAAUGACGGUAUUAUAUGAAUAAGCACCGGCUAACUCCGUGCCAGCCGCCGCGGUAA
RNAcentral lists this ribosomal RNA (484 nucleotides) under uncultured bacterium. Its description in RNAcentral is "partial 16S ribosomal RNA". It matches the Rfam family "Bacterial small subunit ribosomal RNA", at positions 29 to 523 of the family's 1533-position model. The record is from RNAcentral.